The sequence is a small nuclear RNA, 193 nucleotides long. It matches the Rfam family "U2 spliceosomal RNA". Rfam says of the family: U2 is a small nuclear RNA (snRNA) component of the spliceosome (involved in pre-mRNA splicing). Complementary binding between U2 snRNA (in an area lying towards the 5' end but 3' to hairpin I) and the branchpoint sequence (BPS) of the intron results the bulging out of an unpaired adenosine, on the BPS, which initiates a nucleophilic attack at the intronic 5' splice site, thus starting the first of two transesterification reactions that mediate splicing.
ACCACUCUGGCCUUUUGGCUUAAAUCAAGUGUAGUAUCUGUUCUUAAUAGUUUAACCACUAUUAUGGAGGCACCGCCUCCAUUACUGGUUAAGUAUCUAAUUUCUGCCGCCCUUGCCUCUGGGCUCUGCUUGCAACCUGGAGGCGCGAUGACCUUGCUAUUGCAGUAUCAGCAGGCUGUGUCGUCGAGGGUCU